Oreochromis aureus is the source of this 975-nucleotide long non-coding RNA. NCBI's taxonomy places the organism in Eukaryota, Metazoa, Chordata, Actinopteri, Cichliformes, Cichlidae. The record is from Ensembl.
UUUUUUUUUCAAACAAACAAUAAAACUGUUUUUGUGGUUUAAUGUUUCUGAAACAGUUUUGAAACAUUUAACACAGAAAAGAUUAUAGGAUGUGGAUGAGUGCAUCUAACUAAACAGACUCUUAAAAUAAUCCCACCAGUUCACACUGAAUGCAUCUGGUGAACAUGUCAUCACAGUGUUGUCUUCAGUGCAGUAGUACUGCUCCUGCAGAUACUUCCUGUCACAUUUCUGUCCUGUAGACUUAUCACUCAGACAGGCAUUAAAGUGAACGGUGGCUUUAAACCUGGAAGAGAGGAGCACCAGGGACAGAGCCAAGCAGACGACAGAGAACGGGACACUUUCACUCUCUGCUGGGAGGCUGAACGGGAUGACGAUGCGGUUUCGUCCUGGUGGACCAUAUUUUGUUGAGAGAGACUUAAAUUUUUUCCACACUCCUUCAUCUUCCUGCAGAGGGCUAACAAUGAUGUUUGGGAUCUUCCGUCCUCCAGCUUUCUUCAGUGAGUUCCAGUAGUUUGGCAGGUUCAGGGGUUGAUGUGUAUCAGGAGUAAUUUUACCGUCUUUUUCUUUUCUAUGGUAAAAAACUCUGUGCUGUGGCCUCAUUUUUCCUGUUGCAAUGCCAUAGGUUACAUCACCAGUGGUGCCACAGUUCCAGGGAGAGUACAGGACCAGGUCAGUGAUGGUGGGCAGAGGCAGCAAACACUUGGCUGGGAUCAUGGAGUCUCUGAUUGCUCCAUGUGCCACAAAGAUUAUGUCAACAGUGUCAUCAUGGUUCUUCUUUUCUUCCUCAUCAAUUUUACUUUUCAGGAAAUCAAACAUGUCUGAGAGUUUUCUGAAGGUGCCAGACUCUGAAUUUUCUCUCAGCCACUGCAGGACAGUUUCAUCUUUGCAGUUUUCUAUUGCAAGGUUUAUUAAUCUUUUCCUUUCAGCAGAGCUCCUGGGACUUUCAGGGCGACAUGCAGCAUUCCGAUUUGCCCU